AUACGGAGGGUGCAAGCGUUGUCCGGAUUUAUUGGGUUUAAAGGGUGUGUAGGCGGUGUAUUAAGUCAGUGGUGAAAGCCUGCGGCUCAACCGUAGAACUGCCAUUGAUACUGACACACUUGAGUAUGGACGAGGUAGGCGGAAUUUAUGGUGUAGCGGUGAAAUGCAUAGAUACCAUAAAGAACACCGAUAGCGAAGGCAGCUUACUAGGCCAUAGCUGACGCUGAGGCACGAAAGCGUGGGGAGCGAACAGGAUUAGAAACCCUAGUAGUCC
Molecule: ribosomal RNA, 274 nt
Filed under: uncultured bacterium
Lineage: Bacteria
Description: partial 16S ribosomal RNA
Rfam family: Bacterial small subunit ribosomal RNA
Source: RNAcentral